UACUCUUGUUUUUCUUCAGAUCGUAUAAAUCUUUCGCCUUUUACUAAAGAUUUCCGUGGAGAGGAACAAUAAGAGUUUAAUCUAAUUUUUUGAUGCCCUGCUGAAAAGUGGGGCU
RNAcentral lists this small nuclear RNA (115 nucleotides) under Seriola lalandi dorsalis. RNAcentral's name for it is "U5 spliceosomal RNA (ENSSLDG00000006857.1, ENSSLDG00000009883.1)". It matches the Rfam family "U5 spliceosomal RNA". Rfam says of the family: U5 RNA is a component of both types of known spliceosome. The precise function of this molecule is unknown, though it is known that the 5' loop is required for splice site selection and p220 binding, and that both the 3' stem-loop and the Sm site are important for Sm protein binding and cap methylation. The record is from RNAcentral. Lineage: Eukaryota; Metazoa; Chordata; Actinopteri; Carangiformes; Carangidae.